CCCUUAGAUGUUCUGGGCCGCACGCGCGCUACACUGACGAAUGCAACGAGCUUAUAACCUUGGCCGAAAGGUCUGGGUAAUCUCCAAAUUUCGUCGUGAUGGGGAUAGAUUAUUGCAAUUAUUAAUCUUCAACGAGGAAUGCCUAGUAAGCGCAAGUCAUCAGCUUGCGUUGAUUACGUCCCUGCCCUUUGUACACACCGCCCGUCGCUCCUACCGAUUGAAUGGUCCGGUGAAGCGCUCGGACCGCGGCCUCUUGACGGUUCGCUGUCGAUUGUCUGUGGGAAGUUCGUUAAACCUUAUCAUUUAGAGGAAGGAGAAGUCGUAACA
RNAcentral lists this ribosomal RNA (327 nucleotides) under uncultured eukaryote. RNAcentral describes it as "partial 18S ribosomal RNA". It matches the Rfam family "Eukaryotic small subunit ribosomal RNA", at positions 1470 to 1796 of the family's 1831-position model. The record is from RNAcentral.